RNAcentral lists this ribosomal RNA (253 nucleotides) under uncultured bacterium. Its description in RNAcentral is "partial 16S ribosomal RNA". It matches the Rfam family "Bacterial small subunit ribosomal RNA", at positions 524 to 776 of the family's 1533-position model. The record is from RNAcentral.
GACAGAGGUGCCGAGCGUUAGGCGGAAUCACUGGGCUUAAAGCGUGUGUAGGCGGACUUCUAAGUACCUUGUGAAAUCCCACGGCUUAACCGUGGAACUGCUUGGUAUACUGGUUGUCUUGGGCCAUCUAGGGGCUACUGGAACAAACGGUGGAGCGGUGAAAUGCGCAGAUAUCGUUUGGAACGCCAAUGGUGAAAACAAGUAGCUGGGGAUGUGCCGACGCUGAGACACGAAAGCCAGGGGAGCGAACGGG